RNAcentral lists this unclassified non-coding RNA (162 nucleotides) under uncultured Tremellales. RNAcentral describes it as "sequence contains ITS1". Lineage: Eukaryota; Fungi; Basidiomycota; Tremellomycetes; Tremellales. The record is from RNAcentral.
GUGAAUUGAAUAUGUUAGCGGACCUCUUCGGAGUCCCUAGCAUCAAAUCAUAUCCAUAACACCUGUGAACUGUAAGGCUGUCUUGAAAACGAAAGUGAUUAGAGCGCCUGCCCAUUUUAUACAAACAUUAAAGUAACAAACGUAGUCUUAUUAAAUAAGUCA